UACGUAGGGUGCGAGCGUUGUCCGGAAUUAUUGGGCGUAAAGGGCUCGUAGGCGGUUUGUCGCGUCGGGAGUGAAAUCCACUGGCUUAACUGGUGGCUUGCUUUCGAUACGGGCAGACUAGAGUUCGGCAGGGGAGACUGGAAUUCCUGGUGUAGCGGUGAAAUGCGCAGAUAUCAGGAGGAACACCGGUGGCGAAGGCGGGUCUCUGGGCCGAUACUGACGCUGAGGAGCGAAAGCGUGGGGAGCGAACAGG
Molecule: ribosomal RNA, 253 nt
Filed under: uncultured bacterium
Lineage: Bacteria
Description: partial 16S ribosomal RNA
Rfam family: Bacterial small subunit ribosomal RNA
Source: RNAcentral